RNAcentral lists this transfer-messenger RNA (377 nucleotides) under Aestuariibacter sp. It matches the Rfam family "transfer-messenger RNA". Rfam says of the family: Bacterial tmRNA, also known as 10Sa RNA or SsrA, is named for its dual tRNA and mRNA-like properties. Its role is to liberate the mRNA from a stalled ribosome. Lineage: Bacteria; Pseudomonadati; Pseudomonadota; Gammaproteobacteria; Alteromonadales; Alteromonadaceae. The record is from RNAcentral.
GGGGGCGACAUGGCUUCGACGUGGGUAGCAAAACCUAAGGUGCAUGUCGAGGAUACAGAUAUCCUCGUUAAAAAGUCUGUAAAACUAUAGUUGCCAACGACGACAACUACGCUCUCGCCGCUUAAUAACCGGUAGAAGCCGUCUGACUGGAGCCGUGCUUGUGCGUCCAGAGUCCUUCGGGACAUUCAGGCGUCAUAUCUCACAUGAUCGCGCUGAUUCACGUCUGGGGUUGAUGCGUUAAAACUUAACCGGAACCGCUGAUCACACGCCCUGUCUGUCGGGCAGUGGCCAGUUAAAUAUAAUCGACAGUGACUAAGCAUGUAGAGCCAAGGGCGGAGUGCUUGCGGACGCGGGUUCGAUUCCCGCCGCCUCCACCA